UACGUAGGGUGCGAGCGUUGUCCGGAAUUAUUGGGCGUAAAGGGCUCGUAGGCGGUUUGUCGCGUCGGGAGUGAAAUCCACUGGCUUAACUGGUGGCUUGCUUUCGAUACGGGCAGACUGGAGGUAUGCAGGGGAGAACGGAAUUCCUGGUGUAGCGGUGAAAUGCGCAGAUAUCAGGAGGAACACCUAUGGCGAAAGCAGCUCUCUGGGACGGUACUGACGCUGAGACGCGAAAGCGUGGGGAGCGAACAGG
This 253-nucleotide ribosomal RNA is filed under the name uncultured bacterium. RNAcentral's name for it is "partial 16S ribosomal RNA". It matches the Rfam family "Bacterial small subunit ribosomal RNA", at positions 524 to 776 of the family's 1533-position model. The record is from RNAcentral.